RNAcentral lists this ribosomal RNA (468 nucleotides) under uncultured bacterium. RNAcentral describes it as "partial 16S ribosomal RNA". It matches the Rfam family "Bacterial small subunit ribosomal RNA", at positions 28 to 507 of the family's 1533-position model. The record is from RNAcentral.
GACGAACGCUGGCGGCGUGCUUAACACAUGCAAGUCGAACGGAAAGGCCCUGCUUUUGUGGGUUGCUCGAGUGGCGAACGGGUGAGUAACACGUGAGUAACCUGCCCUUGACUUUGGGAUAACUUCAGGAAACUGGGGCUAAUACCGGAUAGGAGCUCCUGCUGCAUGGUGGGGGUUGGAAAGUUUCGGCGGUUGGGGAUGGACUCGCGGCUUAUCAGCUUGUUGGUGAGGUAGUGGCUUACCAAGGCUUUGACGGGUAGCCGGCCUGAGAGGGUGACCGGCCACAUUGGGACUGAGAGACGGCCCAGACGCCUACGGGAGGCAGCAGUGGGGAAUAUGGCACAAUGGGCGGAAGCCUGAUGCAGAGACGCCGCGUGCGGGAUGACGGCCUUCGGGUUGUAAACCGCUGUCGCCUGUGACGAAGAGUGAGUGACGGUAAUGGGUAAAGAAGCACCGGCUAACUACGUG